GGCUGGGUCAGCCGCGCUCGUGUGCAAGAGGGAUUCGCCAGCAGCUCCGCGCGCGCGCUGCACCGCGUCUCAUCUCAAGUCGGGCAGGUCCCCAACCCCCCACCGCACAAACCCUAGCCUCCCAAGCCCGCAGCGCCGCCCUCCUCACUCCUCCUCCAUCUUUCCUCGCCGGCCGCCGCCGCCGCCAUUCCGCUUCGCUCCUCUCUGUCCGAUGGCCACGCCAGUGGGAGGAAGCCGCCGCACAAGAGGACAGGAGACGCCCGUUGGCGAGCUUCUGGGCAGGAAGCCGAUGGGGAGCACGCCAUCAACGAGCCCCCGGGGAGGAGCUAUCGGCCGGUCCUAGGUCGUCGACCAAAGGCCGCCGGUUGCGCUGUCGUGAGAGGAGCAGCAGGGGAGGAGAUGAGGAUAUACCGCCGGCGCCGGACUCCCUCUUCCCUAGCUGCAUCUUCCCCGACAAUUUAUUCCAGUGCCCGAUUCAUUGUCCGUCUCAACCAAACCUCACAUGGUGGUGCGAAUUUAUGCUAGGAAUAAAUGUUCCAGGGUUGGAGAAGAGGGGGUUGAGCAGCAGCUGAGCUUAGGUACAGAGCUAAUGUUCAGUUCAUUGUCUCAGGCAUGGAUUGACAGAUUCAAAAUUUUCUUAUACACUUGCUCGACGCACACCAGCUAGGCAGGCCAGGGGAUGAAGGUACGAUGCAGUGAGUGCAGCAGCGGCAGUGGGGAAACCCCUCCUGGCCGAGCCUCAUCCCUAGCCUCUACCUGCAGAGGAGAACCCCAGGAAAGCUAAAAGUUUGUGGAGGAGCGCCGACACAGUUUUUUAGAGGGUAUUUCGGACUCAAGAUUGAUCUGGUAGUGCACGUGGUGUGGUGUGCCAUAAGCAAGAAUAUCUUAUCUGCGCCAUGACAAUAAGGGCUUGCUGCAGCUAGGCAGUUCUUGGGAGUAUGGUGCUUCGAUUUGGUUCCUGUGGUGAAUUUGUAGUGACACUGUUACCUUCAGAAUUUGAGAUGAACCAUUUCCAGAGCGUAUAUGGAGAGCCUAGAAGCAGCAGGGGUCCGCGGAGCAGCGGAUGCGGUCGAUGGAGUAGCAGGAGCAAGGAGCUCGAGAUGGUUCAGGAAGAGUGCCUACAGAGAUUACAGAACUGGAUAGAGGUGCCUUAUGAUAGUAUAGCUAAAGAACAACAGGUAUGAGUAGAUGACACUACCACCUUUGUGUUUUAUUUUUAUUUGUUGUGAUAUUUCACACACCCCAUAUUGGCACCCCCUCUAUAUUCCCACUCUUAUAGACUUGCAGAAACACAUGCUGCUUGUCUCUAUUUAUCUUGGUCUUUACAUUAUAAAUUAAAACGUAGCUGGAAAGAAUUAUGGGUCAUUUUGGCAUGAAGCUCGAGAAUGAUAAUACCACCUCAAGUGGGGAUAAAGCAGAACAAGAAAUAGAUGAGAUGUAAUUACUGAAACUAGAAAAAAUACUCUUCUGAUUAUGCAUAUGUAAAGUCAUGAUUAUGUGUGGACCAGAUGUGUGCUCUUUUCCAUUGCAUACGAGAUUGUCGGUUAAAAGAGUUUUUUGUCUUCCAGCAAUGAGCUUUCAUUUUCAUUGUGGAGGUUUGUUCGCUUCAUCUCCUCUGGUUAUUUUUUUCAGUUUGUCUCUUCAGAAGUUUGGGUGCCUCUGUUUUGCUACUUUUUAGUUCUCAUCAUUAAGGUUUGUAUCUUUCCUCCCCUCUCAGAUUGUUGCAUCCUUAUUGUGUCUCAUCGUUAAGGUGGCACAUACAAGUAUUAAUUUGUUGAGUUCUGUUAAAGUACCACUGAAAAUUCAAAUUCUAUAUACUUUACUUUUGGCUAUACACGAGAAUACAGUACACACAUUUGAUUAGUGAUUAAAUGUGAAGACCAUUGUGCAUGUUUUUCUGAAUGUGGAUUAAUUAAAUUUUAUUGCUUUAUGGUGAGAUGAAUAUGUUGAUUAUAAUGAUAUAAUGUUAAGAGAUUUUCAAGUGUAAGCUUGUAGCAAAUUAUCUUCUAAUCCAGACUCCAUAUCAUUAUUUAUAUUGUAACACAAAUGUGUUCUAUUAUACUCCCAGCCUUGGUACAUGAAGGCAUGAUAUUACCCCUCUCCCCCUGCCCCUUCUAUGUAUUUUUGAUUUGUUUGUGUGACUAUUGAAUGGUGCUUGCAGGUCCAUGGACAUUGCUAGAAUUUUCACUUUAUUGCAGUGUCGUAUUUCCAGAUCUCAUGUUCCUCAAGGUGACAAGGCUUUGGAGCCAU
Molecule: non-coding RNA, 2250 nt
Organism: Triticum urartu
Lineage: Eukaryota; Viridiplantae; Streptophyta; Magnoliopsida; Poales; Poaceae
Source: RefSeq, a predicted model, not a curated record